RNAcentral lists this ribosomal RNA (489 nucleotides) under uncultured bacterium. Its description in RNAcentral is "partial 16S ribosomal RNA". It matches the Rfam family "Bacterial small subunit ribosomal RNA", at positions 28 to 523 of the family's 1533-position model. The record is from RNAcentral.
GAUGAACGCUGGCGGCGUGCUUAACACAUGCAAGUCGAACGGAAAGGCCUGUACUUGUACAGGUACUCGAGUGGCGAACGGGUGAGUAACACGUGGGUGAUCUGCCCUGCACUGGGGGAUAAGCCCGGGAAACUGGGUCUAAUACCAUAGAGGACCACUUCGUUGAUGUUGUGGUGGAAAGCUUUUGCGGUGUGGGAUGAGCCUGCGGCCUAUCAGCUUUGUGGUGGGGUAAUGGCCUACCAAGGCGGCGCCGGGUAUCCGGGCUGAGAGGGAGUACGGACACAUUGGGACAGAGAUACGGCCCAGACUCAUACGGGAGGCAGCAGUGGGGAAUAUUGCACAAUGGGCGCAAGCCCGAUGCAGCGACGCCGCGUGGGGGAUGACGGCCUUCGGGUUGUAAACUCCUUUCGCUAUCGACGAAGCCACCUUGGGUGGUGACGGUAGGUAGAUAAGAAGCGCCGGCUAACUACGUGCCAGCCGCCGCCGUAA